GCUGUGAAGAGGAAGAAUGAGAGAUCUUAAGAGCGCUAGGAAUGGGAAUAUGGAGGAAAGCCAAACUUAUUAGUUUUCAGCUCUAGUAUUGGGGGUGCAAAUAUUAUGUUUGGUGUUUUCCUGAUGUCUCCCAUUCCUAUGAUUCUUGAGCACUCCUUCCGCUUAUCUUUUGAU
RNAcentral lists this microRNA precursor (174 nucleotides) under Triticum aestivum (bread wheat). RNAcentral's name for it is "MIR2118 microRNA precursor family". It matches the Rfam family "MIR2118 microRNA precursor family". Lineage: Eukaryota; Viridiplantae; Streptophyta; Magnoliopsida; Poales; Poaceae. The record is from Rfam by way of RNAcentral. RNAcentral also lists the same sequence under 1 other name.